CACGCAGGCGGUUGGAUAAGUUAGAUGUGAAAGCCCCGGGCUCAACCUGGGAAUUGCAUUUAAAACUGUCCAGCUAGAGUCUUGUAGAGGGGGGUAGAAUUCCAGGUGUAGCGGUGAAAUGCGUAGAGAUCUGGAGGAAUACCGGUGGCGAAGGCAGCCAUCUGGCCUAAUACUGACGCUGAGGUACGAAAGCAUGGGGAGCAAACAGGAUUAGAUACCCCAGUA
This 225-nucleotide ribosomal RNA is filed under the name uncultured Aeromonas sp. RNAcentral describes it as "partial 16S ribosomal RNA". It matches the Rfam family "Bacterial small subunit ribosomal RNA", at positions 568 to 792 of the family's 1533-position model. The record is from RNAcentral. Lineage: Bacteria; Pseudomonadati; Pseudomonadota; Gammaproteobacteria; Aeromonadales; Aeromonadaceae.